Schizosaccharomyces pombe (fission yeast) is the source of this 273-nucleotide non-coding RNA. NCBI's taxonomy places the organism in Eukaryota, Fungi, Ascomycota, Schizosaccharomycetes, Schizosaccharomycetales, Schizosaccharomycetaceae. The record is from the annotation of a GenBank genome assembly.
CAAUACUGUACAAGUUUUUUACAGAUGCAAUUUUCUUGCACUUAGAUGACUGUAAACUACCGAUAAAAUGCCAUUGGACGUCGUCGGGCAUCUAUGGCACUGUUAGCCUUGUGAAUGGAAAUAAACAAUGAGAACCACUUAUUAUCUAACUUAAAAAAGUGUUUUUAAAGAUGGUAGGCAUCAAAAAAUAGAUUACCGAAAACACAUAAUACAUUCUAGCACUUACCAACUCUACUUUCUUUAGAAAUUCUUGCAUGUAAUUCUCGCCAAAGU